Molecule: ribosomal RNA, 2901 nt
Filed under: Segatella copri
Lineage: Bacteria; Pseudomonadati; Bacteroidota; Bacteroidia; Bacteroidales; Prevotellaceae
Description: Prevotella copri 23S ribosomal RNA
Rfam family: Bacterial large subunit ribosomal RNA
Source: RNAcentral
UAAAGAAAGUAAGAAAGGGCGUAUGGCGGAUGCCUAGGCUCACGGAGGCGAUGAAGGACGUGAUAAGCUGCGAUAAGCUUCGGGUAGGUGCAAAUAACCCUUGAUCCGAAGAUUUCCGAAUGGGACAACCUAGCCGUCUGAAGGACGGUUACUCUUACCAAUGUAAGAGAGCUAACGCAGGGAACUGAAACAUCUUAGUACCUGCAGGAAGAGAAAAUAAAUGAAUGAUUCCCCCAGUAGUGGCGAGCGAACGGGGAACAGCCCAAACCAGUGGCGUCGCAAGGCGUGGCUGGGGUUGUAGGACCGUGACAUUGUAUGCAAAUCGUGAACAGAACACUUUGGAAAAUGUGACCAUAGACGGUGAUAGUCCAGUAUGUGAAGCGAAAUGCAGCAUAGCGGUAUCCUGAGUAACGCGGGACACGAGGAAUCCUGCGCGAAUCUGCCGGGACCAUCCGGUAAGGCUAAAUACUCCCGUGAGACCGAUAGCGAACGAGUACUGUGAAGGAAAGGUGAAAAGAACCCCGAGCAGGGGAGUGAAAUAGUUCCUGAAACCAUACGCCUACAAGCGGUCGGAGCAUUGCAAGAUGUGACGGCGUGCCUUUUGCAUAAUGAUCCUACGAGUUACCGUCACUGGCGAGGUUGAGUGUCAUGAGACACGUAGCCGCAGUGAAAGCGAGCCUGAAUAGGGCGCACAGUCAGUGGGGGUAGACGCGAAACCAAGUGAUCUACACUUGGCCAGGAUGAAGUCCCGGUAACACGGGAUGGAGGUCCGCACCAAUAAGCGUUGAAAAGCUUCUGGAUGAGCCGAGUGUAGGAGUGAAAGGCCAAUCAAACUUGGAGAUAGCUCGUACUCCCCGAAAGGCAUUUAGGUGCCGCGUCGGAUGGUCACCGUGAGAGGUAGAGCGACCGAUAGGACAAGAGGGCUUCACCGCCUAUCGAGUCCUGACGAACUCCGAAUGCUCACGGUCUGCAGUCCGGCAGUAAGGGGGCGGGUGCUAAGGUCCGUCCCCGAGAGGAGAAGAAUCCAGACCGCCGUCUAAGGUCCCGGAGUUCUGCCUGAGUUAGUCUAACGAAGUCUGGUCCCUAUGACAGCUAGGAUGUUGGCUUGGAAGCAGCCAUUCAUUCAAAGAGUGCGUAACAGCUCACUAGUCGAGGGUCCGGGCAUGGAUAAUAAUCGGGUAUAAGGCAGACACCGAAGGCGCGGGAUAGCAAUUAUAAAAGUAUCGGUAGGGGAGCAUACUCACAGCGUCGAAUGGUGUACGUAAGUUAUCCUGGAGCGGUGAGUAAAGCAAAUGUAGGAAUAAGUAACGAUAAGGAGGGUUAGAUUCCCUCCCGCUGUAAGACCAAGGUUUCCCGGGCAAUGCCAAUCAGCCCGGGGUCAGUCGGGUCCUAAGUCUAAGCCGAACGGCGAUGGCGAUGGCAGAGACGGUUAAUAUUCCGUCACUGCCGCAUGGGGCGACGUGGAGACGGAGCAGUGAAACCACCGCGGGGCGACGGAAGUCCCCGUUGAAGGGUGUAGGUGUUGAGGAGAGCAGGCAAAUCCACUCUCCGAGCUGAACCUGACAGUACGGAGUCCUCCUCGGAGGAAUCUGAUAGUGUGGGUAAUCAUACUCCCGAGAAAAUCCGCUAAGCUUAACCCAUGCGGCACCCGUACCGCAAACGGACACACGUGGUCGGGUAGAACAUACUAAGGCGUUGAGAGAUUCAUGGUUAAGGAACUAGGCAAAUUGACCCUGUAACUUCGGGAUAAAGGGUCCUCGUGAUGAGCGAGGCGCAGAGAAUAGGUCCAGGCAACUGUUUAACAAAAACACAGGGCUGUGCAAACUCGAAAGAUGACGUAUACAGCCUGACACCUGCCCGGUGCCGGAAGGUUAAGAGGAGAUGUCACUCGCAAGAGGAAGCAUUGAAUUGAAGCCCCGGUAAACGGCGGCCGUAACUAUAACGGUCCUAAGGUAGCGAAAUUCCUUGUCGGGUAAGUUCCGACCUGCACGAAUGGUGUAAUGAUCCGGACGCUGUCUCAACCAUGAGCUCAGUGAAAUUGUAGUAUCGGUGAAGAUGCCGAUUACCCGCGAUGGGACGAAAAGACCCCGUGAACCUUUACUACAGCUUAGCAUUGACCUUGGUCAUCCGAUGUGUAGGAUAGGCCGGAGGCUUUGAAGCGGGAGCGCCAGCUUUCGUGGAGCCAUCCUUGAAAUACGGCCCUUUGGCUGUCUGAGGUCUAACGCGUGAUUACGCGGACACUGCUUGGUGGGUAGUUUGACUGGGGUGGUCGCCUCCAAAAGCGUAACGGAGGCUUCCAAAGGUGCCCUCGGGUCGAUUGGUAACCGACCUCAAAGAGUGCAAUGGCAUAAGGGCGCUUGACUGGGAGGCAGACAUGCCGAGCAGGCAGGAAACUGGGGCAUAGUGAUCCGGCGGAUGUGUAUGGAAACUCCGUCGCUCAAAGGAUAAAAGGUACUCCGGGGAUAACAGGCUGAUCCCCCCCAAGAGCUCAUAUCGACGGGGUGGUUUGGCACCUCGAUGUCGGCUCGUCACAUCCUGGGGCUGGAGAAGGUCCCAAGGGUUGGGCUGUUCGCCCAUUAAAGUGGCACGCGAGCUGGGUUCAGAACGUCGUGAGACAGUUCGGUCUCUAUCUAUCGUGGGCGUGGGAGUUUUGAGUGGUGCCGUCACUAGUACGAGAGGACCGUGAUGGACAGACCUCCGGUUUACCAGUUGUGCCGCCAGGCGCACCGCUGGGUAUCUGAGUCUGGAUUGGAUAAGCGCUGAAAGCAUCUAAGUGCGAAGCCAGCCGCAAGAUGAGAACUCCAUUGAGGGUCGUCAAAGACGAUGACGUUGAUAGGAUGCAGGUGUAAAGACAGCGAUGUCAAAGCCGAGCAUUACUAAUUGCCCGAACACUUUCUUUAG